Molecule: long non-coding RNA, 357 nt
Organism: Sinocyclocheilus grahami
Lineage: Eukaryota; Metazoa; Chordata; Actinopteri; Cypriniformes; Cyprinidae
Exons: 4
Source: RefSeq, a predicted model, not a curated record
AAAAGCAUCAGAUCCAACAGAACCAGUUGAGGCAGUGACUAAACCAGGAACUACCGAGAUAGUUGUGAAUGUUGACGAUGACGGCGUCAUUUCACUGAAUUUUGAGUGCUCUAACCUCACCGCUGACUCCAAAUUCGUCUGGUCCAAGAACUACAUGGAAAUGACAGAACCUGAACGCAUGACCUUAGAGACCAAGGGUAACAAAUCCAAAGCCAUCUUUAAAACACCUUCAGAAGAAGAUCUGGGUAUCUACUCUUGUUUCGUGACACACACUGAUGGAGCCUCUGCCAGCUACACACUCUCUGAGGAAACUCUAAAAGAACUCCUGAAGAUCAGCCACGACCACAAAUUCCCCAG